This 26-nucleotide unclassified non-coding RNA is filed under the name Mus musculus (house mouse). RNAcentral describes it as "piRNA piR-mmu-68163334". Lineage: Eukaryota; Metazoa; Chordata; Mammalia; Rodentia; Muridae. The record is from RNAcentral.
UAAGAGAGCAGGCCAGGGAUCCAUCC